AGCAGUGGGGAAUUUUGGACAAUGGGGGCAACCCUGAUCCAGCAAUGCCGCGUGAGUGAAGAAGGCCUUCGGGUUGUAAAGCUCUUUUGUCAGGGAAGAAACGGUUCGGGCUAAUAUCCUGGGCUAAUGACGGUACCUGAAGAAUAAGCACCGGCUAACUACGUGCCAGCAGCCGCGGUAAUACGUAGGGUGCAAGCGUUAAUCGGAAUUACUGGGCGUAAAGCGUGCGCAGGCGGUUGUGCAAGACAGAUGUGAAAUCCCCGGGCUUAACCUGGGAAUUGCAUUUGUGACUGCACGGCUAGAGUGUGUCAGAGGGGGGUAGAAUUCCACGUGUAGCAGUGAAAUGCGUAGAGAUGUGGAGGAAUACCGAUGGCGAAAGCAGCCCCCUGGGAUAACACUGACGCUCAUG
This 409-nucleotide ribosomal RNA is filed under the name uncultured bacterium. Its description in RNAcentral is "bacterial SSU rRNA". It matches the Rfam family "Bacterial small subunit ribosomal RNA", at positions 350 to 751 of the family's 1533-position model. The record is from RNAcentral.